Molecule: long non-coding RNA, 4642 nt
Organism: Homo sapiens (human)
Lineage: Eukaryota; Metazoa; Chordata; Mammalia; Primates; Hominidae
Exons: 5
Source: RefSeq, a predicted model, not a curated record
UUUCAGUUGCAUCUUUUCAACAAAGUUGACUCUCUCCCUACAAAGGAAAGUUUGUAUCAGCUACUGAGAAGACUUGGACUGGAACUUACUUCACCAGAUCUCAUGGUUCUUGGGCCUUCAGACUCAGGUUGGAACUAUGCUAUCAGCUUUCCUGGAUCUCCAGCUUGCUGACUACACAAUCUAGGACUUCUCAGCCUUUGUAAUUGUGAGGAACAAAUUGUUCUACAGAAAAUGAAGGAAACUCCAAAUGUUCAAGAGACUGGGGAUGAUAUAUGAAAGCUUUCACCAUUAGGAUAAAAAAGAGCAAGAAUAGCUCACAUACCAUGUGAACCACUUUUGGGAAUCAGAUGUGUACAUUCCAAAGUAAAAUGACUUCAGUGUAUAUAUACAAGGAUGAUAAAUGUCCUGCUGAGAACAGCGGCAAAACAACAAGAAGAACCACCGUAAAGCUCCUGCACAUACUUAUAUACUGAAUAGGACCAUGAAAAAGUGCUUAAGCUCAAACAGGUAGGUAUUAUUUUUUUCAUGCCUUGUAAAAGUAGAUUAGUCAUAUGAGAAAACUUGAAAUAAUUUGCUGUAAUAUUUUAGAUUGUUUGCAAUUUAAAAUUUUUCAGGUAUCCCUGCUUUUCUCCUUUAUGCUGGAUAACUAAAAGUACCUAUCAAUUCACCUGAUUGUAUUUUUCAUUUUAUUUUUUCCUCAGAGGCCUGAUUUCCUUAUAGUUUUUGACCUAUUGAGGUAAUUUGCAUGCUCUUUAGCCAUUGUCUGAGAAACUUGUGCCCAGACAAAUCUUUGUUUUCCUUUUAGGCUCUAUUUAAUAAAGAUUAUGAAGAGGCUUACAGUAGCACUAUUAUUUGAGAUUUCAUUAUGGCUGUUAAUGGUAUUUGAGUACCAGUUUUUUUUCACAUGGUCAUUGAUAAUUGGGGUUUUAGCUAUUUUAUAUUGACAAUCGGAGAUUUUUGAAAAUGGUGCCACCUUGAAGUCUAAUUAAUUAGAGAAUGCUAUAACCAUUGUUAAUGCACAACUCAUUUUUAGUUUAAUUUAAAAUUUGGAGCAUUUCUUUGCUUCCUCAAAUAAUUGUGCUUAUAGUCAGAAGCAUAAUAAGUAGAAAAUAGAUUAACUAUGAAGAAAACUGUAAAUCUCUUCUCAUCACUGUUUGUAUUAUGAACAGUAUAAAAGAAUCAGAUGAGGAAGGGACAUAUUUUUAUGGCAUGGGUCUUGCUGUACAUAGCCUUUACCUGAGCUAGUUUCUUUGGGAUUGGUAUAUAUAAUGUUGCAAGUCUCAAGGCCAAUGCUAAGUGCAGGGAGGGCAAUCCAAGAGGCUGCAAUCCCCAUUUAUCUUACUCUGGGCACUAAAGCUAUUUCUUCCCAUCCAGAUUUUCUUCCAGGAAGCAAUGCCCAGUUGAAAUGGUAAGAUGGUGUGAACAUGGAUCUUUCUAAGGAUCAAAAUGGGAUCUGUUAAAUAUGUAUGUUUAUGGGGUCUGUUAAUAUGUAUUAAGCAUUUCAUAGGUGUUAAGUCUUCAUCAAGACUUAACAAACAAAGUAGAAGAAACAAACACAUAAAGAGGUCCUUAUAUCAUGUGAUAGAUGCCAUGAUAGAGGCAUCGGUUCAGGGUGAUGAGGUAGCACAGAGUGAAGACAUAAAUCAGCCUGGGAAAAUCAAGGAACGCCUCCUGGAGAAGACAAACUGUAAUUUGUCUUUAAAGCUGCUUACUAGCCAGAUGCAAAGUUAGAGGAAGGCAAGUAAGGCAGAGAAAACACACUAUCAAGGAAUGGAAACUAAAAUAAUAAAAACUACAACGAUCUUUACAUUUAUUUUAGGUACUAUUUUAGGUGAUGCAUGAAACCAUUUCAUGUGUCCCACAAACAUAUGAGGCAGCUAUUACUAUCCCAGUUUUAUGUAUGAAGAAAUUGAAGCACAGAAUGUUUAAGUGAAUUACCUAAGGUCACAUAGACAGUAAAUUAUAGAGGACAGAUUUGGAACCCUGCUGUCUGACUCCAGAGUCCAUAUCCUUAACCACCAUACGAUACAGCCCCGUGCUGUGGUUUACUGAUGGGUGUAGUGAACAACAAGUGAGUUGAAAUUACUGGAUAAAAUUCUAGCUUGGAGAAGGCAGAAGGCACAGUUGCAGAGACUGACAAGUGGCAGAUACUGACUUUGUAUGUCAUGCUAAGACGGUUAGAAUAAGACUUCUCAACUAUGUAUAGUGAGGGGACAAUUUACUUUAUUAUUAUCUUUUAAUUUCAAAUAUGAUGUGGAUGGAUAUGUUUAUAAAAUAUAAAAUUACAUACAUGGAUAUCAAGGCAAUUUCAAAUUGCUAGAAAGGAUUCUAAAUGCUUACUUCAUUUCUGUGCUUUGCUAAUCAUUGAUUUAUAACAAACAAUUUUGGGCUAGCGCUUUGAGUAGUAUUGAUUUAUAUUUUUUACUUUGUACCUUGUGGUGUAAUUAAGGUAUAACCAUUCAGAUGGGCAGGUUAGCAUUUUAAGUAUUGAUUUCUUUGUGGAAAAUGAACUAGAGGCUAAGACUGAUUACAGUGAGCCCAAUUAUGAAUCAAUGAUUGUAGUGUCUGCCAAAUAUAACUGGAGCCUAAACUGAGGCUGUGGAGUAGCAAUGAAAAGUGAGAGGUAAAUGGUUUUGAGAAAUCCUUGAGAGCUAUAUCUGGCCUGGGUCCAUGGACAAGAUUCCCUUAUCUUCAACUUCCACUAAAACAGCUCUUUGUGAUUCUUUACUCUGUUUUCCUCUUAAAUUUAAUAUUUUAAAAUGUCUAUCUCAAAAGCUACCAUCUAUGUAUUUCUUAAAUCAAAACCGUAUUUUUCCUUCAAAAUGUAUUAAACAUUUUGUUUAAGCGAAGUUCCUUUUAGGCCCUGGGUUUAAGUGGGAAGAAGGCUGGUGAGGCUGAGGAGUGCAGGAUGAUCUGCAGGGCUAGAAGUGAAGUGUCGUUUCUUUCUUAAACAAGUAUCUUGUGUGGAAACAUGCAGCAAAGCCAAGAGUUAAUGGUUUAAGGAAUGAGCCUUGAGGGAACAGGGGCCAAGGGAAAAUUUUCACUUUGUCCUUCUGAAGGUUUACUGAGAAAUGAACUCAUAAAUGUCAGAUUAACUGGAGAAAAAGCAUUCAAAAUUUAUUAAUGUGUAAACAGGAUCCUUUGGAAUGAAGACCCAAAGAUAUAGAAAAAAUUGUCCAUUUUUAUGCUUAGGUUCAAGAAAGUAUGGAUAGCUGCAUAGAAAUAUGUUUGGAAAAAUAGGGUAUUAUCUAAUGUUAAUAGAUGGAGUAGAGCAAUAUAGCAAGGCCUCUUGGUCUAGAUUUGUCUUGGUUUUUCAGAGCAUGUGUUUCUUCCUUCUGGAUAUGGGACAGGACCCUCUCUGGAAAGGGGGUCAGAUAAUUUUUUAUUGCCAGUUUUUGUACAAAAAGGCAGAAGAAAAGCUGGAGUCAAAUUUUUAGGUUUAUGGCUGGCUUUGAGGAAAAGAGGUUCUGAUUUUUAUCGUGGCUUGUGGAAGAGGGAUUCAAGUUUGUAUGGCCAGCCUUGGAGGAGAAUGGGGCUGAACGACAGGAGGCAGGAGGGUAGGAGAAGGUCAGAGAAAACAUUUUUUUUUUUUUUUUCCUGAGGCUGUUUCUGAGGCCAUUGUUGAAUGUUGUUUUCUGUUUUCCAAACUUCUCUGGCCUAAAACUUCCCCAAUAAAUUUCACAGGCCAGUAAUUGGGUUGGUGGAUUGUUGUAUAAGCCAUUUAAUUGAAGCAGUCUCUUAGUCUUGAGAACAGGGCAGUCAAGUUAAACAGUUAAUAGUUGCAUCUUAUUUCAGGCAAUGGUCUUGUAGAUGGGGUUUUACCAAAGUUGGGUUUCUUUAUGAUUUUAGCAAUCAGACAGAUAUUGAAUAAGAGGCAUUUUUAUGGAAACAAAAGGAAAACAAAAGUUAAUGGUUAGAAAAAAACUAUAAACUUAGGUUUUGAGUGUAAGAGGCAGCCCAUUGAGAAGAUUUUUAGAUGUUAGGCUUGAAGCAUCUUUAGAUGAAGUGAGAGCAGAUAGUAACAAUCUGACAGAUUUUUUUUUUGUCUGUAGUUUAUAUCAGGCAUUCAAGGGAACUUUUGAGUAGUCUACACAUUGUCAGGCUCAAAGGCUGUUUGUAUAUUAAGUUGUUAUUAUGAUUUUUAAAAGAAGUUUUUAUCAAGUUGUCUACCUUUAGCUUAUAGGGCUUUAGGCAAAAGCAGUAUUAAUUUUAGUAAUUUUUAGUCAGAAAGUAGAAAAAAUUUGGAAACAUUAGUUGGGAGGCUUAUAGCCAGGAAAGAAUUUAGGAUUUAGUCUGAAUUGUAGGAAAAUAAUAAAAACUCAAAAACAAUGAUUAAGGCUGGAAUCUAAUAACAGGUAUGUUUUAGUUUAUUUUAAACAAUUUUUUUCUAGUCCCCCAUUUUUACUAAAGAAAAAUCAUAGCAGGACCAGUUUAUUUGUAAAAUAAGUUACAGUUUUACUACACUUGGCCUGAUUAUUUGUAUAAAAUGUAGUAUGAAUAGUGAUUGGCCAUAUAGAUUCUUUUUAAAUUGGUUUUGUUGGAAAAAUUUUACAAGGAAUCUCGGAUUAGACUUUUAAAAGUCUCUCAAGGCUUGGAAGCCAAGCCAGGGAUUUAUGAUCAGGCUGUCUGUAAUACCUGGAUA